UACGUAGGGCGCAAGCGUUAUCCGGAAUUAUUGGGCGUAAAGAGCUCGUAGGCGGUUUGUCGCGUCUGCCGUGAAAGUCCGGGGCUCAACUCCGGAUCUGCGGUGGGUACGGGCAGACUAGAGUGAUGUAGGGGAGACUGGAAUUCCUGGUGUAGCGGUGAAAUGCGCAGAUAUCAGGAGGAACACCGAUGGCGAAGGCAGGUCUCUGGGCACUAACUGACGCUGAGGAGCGAAAGCGUGGGGAGCAAACAGG
RNAcentral lists this ribosomal RNA (253 nucleotides) under uncultured bacterium. RNAcentral's name for it is "partial 16S ribosomal RNA". It matches the Rfam family "Bacterial small subunit ribosomal RNA", at positions 524 to 776 of the family's 1533-position model. The record is from RNAcentral.